RNAcentral lists this long non-coding RNA (715 nucleotides) under Brachypodium distachyon (stiff brome). Its description in RNAcentral is "long non-coding RNA (BDIS_LNC001243)". Lineage: Eukaryota; Viridiplantae; Streptophyta; Magnoliopsida; Poales; Poaceae. The record is from RNAcentral.
CCAAGACGCAUUAGAUUUUUUUUAGCAUAACAUUUAAUUAACUAGCAAAACACCCGUGCAUUGCUACGGAACAACGGAAAAUUGUAUCAAAACGUCAAAUUAAAUGUUGAUGUGUUUCAUGAGCACAUAUGUAUAUAACGAUUAUGAUAUGUUUAUUUUCGUAACUUAUACUCUGGUCUCUUUCUCUUUUGCACUUGUCUCAUUUCUACAUCCCGUGUAAAAAGAAAUUCACACAUGCUCAAGUUUUUUGCUCUCUACCUCCAUGUUAUCACUGUUCUCACGUAGACCACACUUGAAAAGUGAGCGUUUUUCAACUCUUUUUUUUUUCUGAAUUCAUGAAGUGAUUGUAAUAUAAUCAUGAAUAAGGAAGAACAUGUAACAAUCAUAAUUUUUAUCACUUCCAUCCGUCUAAGCCGAUCGACCUCCCUGUGUGGUGAUGAAUUAAACAGCAAGCAUCGGUAUAUUGAUCAAGACAGCAAGUAGCAGCAGCAGCCAUCACAUAAAGCAAACAGCAGUAUAAAAUUUUGCUUAAUGGAUCCUUGCCCUGCUCUCCUAUCCCUUCUCCCAAUUUCUCUCGCUCUCCCUCUCAUUACCCUCUCCAUCCACCCUGAGUGCAAACUCCUCCUCUCCUCGUCCCGAUUCAUCCCGUCAUUGAACAUGUGCGCACCGCCUCCGCCCGUAGAUUCCUGCCGUCUGAUCCCACUUGCCACCCGGU